This is a long non-coding RNA of Oncorhynchus keta (chum salmon), 1825 nucleotides long. RefSeq lists it as uncharacterized. The record is from RefSeq and is a predicted model, not a curated record. The transcript has 3 exons. Lineage: Eukaryota; Metazoa; Chordata; Actinopteri; Salmoniformes; Salmonidae.
GGAACACGUGGCCAAACAGGAUCUAACCCAGAGUUUAGUAGAGUACAGUAAACCUCCACAGGGAACAAUACUCUGAGGAGGAAAGGAACCAUGCCUCAACAUUAUAAUAAUUUUAUUCUCCUUCCAAAUGAGCAACAAAACAUCUGCUUCUCAUAAUAAGUAGGGAGAUACGGGAUUAGUAGGGACAUACGUACACAAGCACGUACACGCGUACGGACACGAACACGCACAUGCAAGGAUGCACACGCACACACAGGCACGCACACACACCCCUGCACAGUCAGCGUCAAGGGAGAGGAAGAAACGCUGACAAGAAUAACAGAUAAGAACUGAAUUCAGGUCUUCAUAAUGGAGAAAACAUAGUGAUGCAUUUGGGCUGCUAUGUGAUUAUAACAGAUAAGAACUGAACUCAGGUCUGUUUUCAUAAUGGAGAAAAUAUGGUGUGGUGUUUGGGCUGCUAUGUGAUUAUAACAGAUAAGAACUGAACUCAGGUCUGUUUCCAUAAUGGAGAAAAUAUGGUGUGGCGUUUGGGCUGCUAUGUGAUUGUUGUUAUUUCUGGCUCCAGACUUUAUUAAUAAAUGAACUGAGACAGAUGUUCAACACUUGUCAUGCUGUUGUUGUGGUCCAUGUGUCUCUCUUCCUGUUAAGAAGUGAUUUCCUUCUCCUGUUUCAGCUGAGGAAACAGAAACGAAACGGCACGUUACAAUAACACGUCAUUCACAGGUCAUUUAGAAAACAAAUGACUUUAGAGUCUAAAUGAAAACUGGAAUACGUGGGAACCCCUCUGCAAGACAAAACAUCUCACGGCAUAUCAUGCUCAGAUUGGUGUGUGUGUGUGUGUGUGUGUGUGUGUGUGUGUGUGUGUGUGUGUGUGUGUGUGUGUGUGUGUGUGUGUGUGUGUGUGUGUGUGCGUGCCUGCAUGCUUGUGUGUGUGAGUGUGGGUAUGUGUGUCUGCCAGUGUACUGUAUGUGUGUCUGUGUGUGAUUGUGUGAGUGUGGGUAUGUUUGUCUGUCAGUGUGUGUGUGUGUGUGUGUGUGUGUGUGUGUGUGUGUGUGUGUGUGUGUGUGUGUGUGUGUGUGUGUGUGUGUGUGUGUGUGUGUGUGUGAUUGUGUAAGUGUGGGUAUGUUUGUCUGCCUGUGUACUGUAUGUGUGAGUGUGUGUGUGUAUGUGUGUGCCUGUGUGUGUGUUGCAUCACCCUAAUUCUACUCCAUAGCGACUCCCUUCAUAGCAUGUCUCCUGUACCCUGAUAGAAUGUAGGCCAGGCCAGGGACCAGGCUCUGUGUGUACAGAGUCAUAAUGAUAUGCCUCUAGGGAGGAGAGAGCAGAACAGAGUCACUCAAGUGGAACAAAUACACACUGACCCUGUUACACAAUGUGGUCACUUUCCCAUAAUGCACAAGCCAUGACAGAAGGGUGGGAAUCCGAUGAUCAACCUAUAUGUAAACAAUGCUGGCUCGCCGGCUUCUACAUAUAGUUUGCUGAGUUUCCAGGUUGCCCUAGUUGUUUCCAGGUUGCCCUAGUUGUUUCCAGGUUGCCCUAGAUGUUUCCAGGUUGCCCUAGAUGUUUCCAGGUUGCCCUAGAUGUUUCCAGGUUACCCUAGAUGUCUCCAGGUUACCCUAGUUGUUUCCAGGUUGCCCUAGAUGUUUCCAGGUUACCCUAGAUGUUUCCAGGUUACCCUAGAUGUUUCCAGGUUACCCUAGAUGUUUCCAGGUUACCCUAGAUGUUUCCAGGUUACCCUAGAUGUUUCCAGGUUACCCUAAUUGUUUCCAGGUUGUCCUAGAUGUUUCCAGGUUGCCCUAGAUGUUUCCAGGUUGCCCUAGAUGUU